This 440-nucleotide ribosomal RNA is filed under the name Verrucomicrobiales bacterium. Its description in RNAcentral is "bacterial LSU rRNA". It matches the Rfam family "Bacterial large subunit ribosomal RNA", at positions 2473 to 2925 of the family's 2925-position model. The record is from RNAcentral. Lineage: Bacteria; Pseudomonadati; Verrucomicrobiota; Verrucomicrobiia; Verrucomicrobiales.
GAUAACAGGCUGAUCGCGCCCAAGAGUUCAUAUCGACGGCGCGGUUUGGCACCUCGAUGUCGGCUCGUCGCAUCCUGGGGCUGAAGAAGGUCCCAAGGGUUUGGCUGUUCGCCAAUUAAAGCGGCACGCGAGCUGGGUUCAGAACGUCGCGAGACAGUUCGGUCCUCUAUCCUCUGUGGGCGUAGGAGAGUUGAAGGGUUCAUUUCCUAGUACGAGAGGACCGGAAAUGACGCACCUCUGGUGUUCCAGUUGUUCUGUCAAGGGCACGGCUGGGUAGCUAAGUGCGGACUAGAUAAGCGCUGAAAGCAUCUAAGCGUCAAGCUAUUCCUAAGAUAAGCUCUCCCUGAAGGAUCGUCGAAGACUACGACGUCGAUAGGCUGCAGGUGUAAGUACAGUAAUGUAUUCAGCCGAGCAGUACUAAUCAUCCGUUUGGCUUGUUU